Molecule: long non-coding RNA, 842 nt
Organism: Mytilus californianus (California mussel)
Lineage: Eukaryota; Metazoa; Mollusca; Bivalvia; Mytilida; Mytilidae
Exons: 3
Source: RefSeq, a predicted model, not a curated record
UAUUGUAUGUUUGUGCUUUAAUUAUUAUGGCAAACAGUUGCAAUAGCUGUUUUUGUUGACGAUAUUGUCGGCUUGUGGACCCCGCCUCCUUUUGCAGAUUAACCAAUCAGUAGACGAUCGCCGUCAAAUAGAUGUUUGUAGUUUGCAGAAUGGAAAGAACCUUGCAGCGAAAAUUAUUUUCACUUCUCUGUGAAAAUCUAACCAGAAAACUCCCCUGUCAAUUACAAGAUACAGUAUGCCAUUCCAGCUUUGAUGAAAUAAAGUAAUGGUUUGAUUUGGAGAGCUUUAUUAUUAUAGACAGGGAUGAUGACCUGCAGUAGAAAGUUCCUUAUAACUCAUCAUGGCCAUUAUGGAAGAUCUGAUUAAAAUUUGUUUAGAAAGCCACCAAAUAUGUCCAUGAAAAGUAGAAAAAAGACAGCAAUUCUAUAUAAUUUACAUAUAUGUACUAAGCAGAAGCAUUGACUGUUUCAAGACCAAAUGAAUUGGAAUUUAGUGUUUUGAUGCUGAGAGACAGAGGAAAAUUAUCUAGACAAUUUAGCUUCUUUUUCAUCAUCAAUUGUAUCACUGAAGUUGAUGUUUACAAUCUUAAAGAGCUUUUACCUCAGUUAAAAUGAAUUCUAAAUACGGACAGUUUGGAGAUUUGUGAAUUUUCUUACAAUUGGAGUUUCAAAAAAGGAUUUCAUUUAACAAAAUUAUAUUUCAUGGAUGUAAUUUGUAGUUUCUUUCAUGAAAUAUUUGAAAAAUCUGCAAUACAUUUGUAUCUGACCAAGUGAGAGAUCUACAAAUAGACAUAUGAUAUUCAGUUGAACUGUAAAGAAGGAGAUAUUCAUUUAUAAGACUUA